UUGGGCACGCUGGCUGGAUGCUAGCCGUUGCCCAGCACACGCUCGUCUCGUCUGGAAGAGAGAAAAAGACGACAAUUGCUGAAGGGAUUGAAAUCCGGUGUUGGAAGGCUGAAUUCUUCAGAGGAGGAAAGAGACGUCGCUUGCAAUCACUAUCGGAACAGGGCUGCUUAGUUAGUUGCACUGAGGCCUGAGGGGGGGCCGGGUCGCAAGGACCAGAUGGCGCCGAGGCCGAGCUGCCCAUGCCAGGACUACCAACGCAGACGGCUCAUACGAAUGCGUGCAGACGCAGCGAGAGCACGACAGCGCGUCUGGGCCGGCCGGGGGCAAAACGGCAGCGUCACGAGGAGGGGGGGUGGGCGCGCGAGGGACCAUGCAUUUAUGCAGUGCCUCUGCUUAAUAACAGCCGACCUCCGUCGUCCGUGCAUGGCUCGCGCAGUCGCGCUCUGGUUUCGUCUCGGCCCGCCGUCCCGUCCCUUUGCCUUCCUUCGCACACGCGAAAACUAUAGCUGCACUGCACGCUCUCCUCACACUCUCCCUCCUCUUCUGCUCGUCUGCGCGUCCCAAAACUUUGCUGCUGUGAGAGGUUGAAGCUGCCAGCAUGAUCUGGCUGCUCAGACGCCGGCGGGCGUCUCGAGUGCUCGCUCGAUCGUCGGUGACGCUUGGAUUCACCAGAUCAUGUUGCAGCUUCACUCUCUCGCAGCCAGCAAACGCAAGGCGUCGUGUAGGGAGGCGACUGACAGAUGAGUUCCUUCGCCACCGAUCAAUCAAGUUGUAAUCUAUAUAUGUAUGAGCCACGGUUGAGGCUGUCGGUGAACCUGAUCGAGUUUGGAUCACGGUGUUCUGCGCCUGUGACCUUUCAGACUUCCAAAUGGGGUGCAGGGCCAAGAACAGCGGCGGUGGCCGCGCUAGGUAACGGCACGUUCAUUUCAAUCUCAAUCCAUGUGGAUUGAACAAGAUUGAGUGGAUUUAAAUUCCAAUCAAUUUAAAAUUGUUUUUAUUUUUUUUCCAAUCGCAUCCAAUGAAAAUAAUAGAAUAAGGCCUAACUGCCCUCGAAAUCCACACUGCAGUUGACAACUGUGAUCGAGUUUUGGAGUUGCCUGUUGCCCUGUUCCCCCAGAAACUGACUGCUCUAAAGAUGAGUUUUCUGAA
Long non-coding RNA from Zea mays, 1149 nucleotides. RefSeq lists it as uncharacterized. The record is from RefSeq and is a predicted model, not a curated record. The transcript has 2 exons. NCBI's taxonomy places the organism in Eukaryota, Viridiplantae, Streptophyta, Magnoliopsida, Poales, Poaceae.